CCCUUAGAUGUUCUGGGCGGCCCGCGCACUACAUUGGCACUGGCAACAAGAUCCUAGAUCUGGUAUUUCGGGGUAUUCUACCAACUGGUGUCGUGACUGGGAUUAACCCCUGCAAUUGUUGGUUAUGAACGAGGAAUUCCUUGUAAUCACGGUUUAUCAACCCGUGUUGAAUGCGUCCCUGCCCUUUGUACACACCGCCCGUCGCUCCUACCGAUGAAUCGUCCGGUGAAGUUCAUGGAGUCGCGGCUGCUCCAGCUGUUUUCGAAGUGAAAUGGACCUCAUGAUUUAGAGGAAGGAGAANUCGUAACA
Molecule: ribosomal RNA, 309 nt
Filed under: uncultured eukaryote
Lineage: Eukaryota
Description: partial 18S ribosomal RNA
Rfam family: Eukaryotic small subunit ribosomal RNA
Source: RNAcentral